Molecule: non-coding RNA, 135 nt
Organism: Triticum aestivum (bread wheat)
Lineage: Eukaryota; Viridiplantae; Streptophyta; Magnoliopsida; Poales; Poaceae
Source: Rfam
UAUGUACUCCCUCCGUCCCAAAAUUCUUGUCUUAGAUUUGUCUAGAUACGGAUGUAUCAAGUCAUGUUUUAGUAUUAGAUACAUCCGUAUCUAGACCAAUCUAAGACAAGAAUUUUGGGACGGAGGGAGUAUCUA